Molecule: ribosomal RNA, 512 nt
Filed under: uncultured bacterium
Lineage: Bacteria
Description: partial 16S ribosomal RNA
Rfam family: Bacterial small subunit ribosomal RNA
Source: RNAcentral
GACGAACGCUGGUGGCGUGCCUAAUACAUGCAAGUCGAGCGGACCAAUAGAAGCUUGCUUCCGUUGGUUAGCGGCGGACGGGUGAGUAACACGUGGGCAACCUGCCUGUAAGACUGGGAUAACUUCGGGAAACCGGAGCUAAUACCGGAUAAUUCAUCCCCUCGCAUGAGGGGCUGCUGAAAGUCGGUUUACGCUGACACUUACAGAUGGGCCCGCGGCGCAUUAGCUAGUUGGUGAGGUAAUGGCUCACCAAGGCGACGAUGCGUAGCCGAACUGAGAGGGUGAUCGGCCACACUGGGACUGAGACACGGCCCAGACUCCUACGGGAGGCAGCAGUAGGGAAUCUUCCACAAUGGACGAAAGUCUGAUGGAGCAACGCCGCGUGAGCGAUGAAGGCCUUCGGGUCGUAAAGCUCUGUUGUUAGGGAAGAACAAGUAUCGGAGUAACUGCCGGUACCUUGACGGUACCUAACCAGAAAGCCACGGCUAACUACGUGCCAGCCGCCGCCGUAA